AGAGAAAGUCAAGAGUUGUUUUUGAUUUUGAAGAGCAAUAAUAACAUUGCUCUGACAUCUCUAUCCAUUUAAGUUUAGAUCACUAUGUGAUUCACAACUGCUGUAUGACUACUCAAAAGCUCAUGGUAAAAAUAUUCACUUUUUCAUAUCUUUUAGGGUCUGCCUGGAGAAGUGGGAGCCAAAGGAGAAAAAGGAGAAUGGGGAGAUGAGGGAAGUCCUGGCUCUGAUGGUACCCCUGGACCAAAGGGUAGCCCUGGAUCCGAAGGCUUACGAGGGGUCCCUGGGGCUCGUGGAUCAAAAGGAGAAAAGGUAAAUUUUCAUUCGUGAUAUUCACAAGUAGUUUAGAAGAAGAAAUAUUUUACUGUUUUAAAUGAAAACUCAAGCCAUUAAGGCCUUGUGAUCUAUUUAGUGA
This 412-nucleotide long non-coding RNA is filed under the name Pseudonaja textilis. RNAcentral's name for it is "lncRNA (ENSPTXG00000000110.1)". Lineage: Eukaryota; Metazoa; Chordata; Lepidosauria; Squamata; Elapidae. The record is from RNAcentral.